Bactrocera oleae (olive fruit fly) is the source of this 397-nucleotide non-coding RNA. The record is from RefSeq and is a predicted model, not a curated record. Lineage: Eukaryota; Metazoa; Arthropoda; Insecta; Diptera; Tephritidae.
UGUUCUUUGAAAUUUUUAACUAUCGUGGGUCAUAAAUAAAGAAUUUGUACAACAUGGGUACUAGUCUUAAUUGAAAAACGGAGUCAGCUACAACACAUUUUUUUUAAUAAACCUGCAUUGGAAGUAGCUAACUAAAUGAUUGAGUAGAUUAAUAUGUUGACAAUUUAAUAUUCAAUAUUGACUUCUGAUAUGAAAUGAAAUGAUAAAUAUGGAUAAAAUGAGAUCAGUGUGGAUAAUAAUAAUAAAAUAUAAUUCAAGAACUGUUAUUAUAACGACUUCUGAACGACGAAUAAUGCCUCGCAGAGUUUGGAAUGCAAAGGAAACGAAACCACAUAUAAAAAAAAAGCAAAUGGUAUUGAAUUUAAGCACAGAAUUCAAGAAAUUAAAGAAUAAAAAA